GGAUUAGAUACCCUGGUAGUCCACGCCGUAAACGAUGAUCACUAGCUAUUGGCGAUACACUGUCAGUGGCACAGCGAAAGUGUUAAGUGAUCCACCUGGGGAGUACGAUCGCAAGGUUGAAACUCAAAGGAAUUGACGGGGGCCCGCACAAGCGGUGGAGCAUGUGGUUUAAUUCGAUGAUACGCGAGGAACCUUACCAGGGCUUAAAUGUAUGUUGACAUAUUGGGAAACCAGUAUUUCUUCGGACAAUAUACAAGGUGCUGCAUGGCUGUCGUCAGCUCGUGCCG
Molecule: ribosomal RNA, 287 nt
Filed under: uncultured bacterium
Lineage: Bacteria
Description: partial 16S ribosomal RNA
Rfam family: Bacterial small subunit ribosomal RNA
Source: RNAcentral